This 300-nucleotide ribosomal RNA is filed under the name uncultured Thermofilum sp. RNAcentral describes it as "bacterial SSU rRNA". It matches the Rfam family "Bacterial small subunit ribosomal RNA", at positions 496 to 795 of the family's 1533-position model. Lineage: Archaea; Thermoproteati; Thermoproteota; Thermoprotei; Thermofilales; Thermofilaceae. The record is from RNAcentral.
GCGAGUGCGAUGCAGGCAGCGGUGAUAAGACGGAGGUGGCAGAGUUGACUCGGAAGUAAUGGUCGUAAAGAGAAAGCGGUCGGGUUGGUAAUGCAGAGGCGAAACUACCGGUCCCAGACUGGGAACUGCAUCGGAUACGUGCAAGCUUGAGUGUAGUAGAGGGUGGUAUAAUUCCAGGUGUAGCGGUGAAAUUCGUAGAGAUCUGGAUGAAUACCGGUGGCGAAGGCGGCCCCCUGGACGAAGACUGACGCUCAGGUGCGAAAGCGUUGGGAGCAAACAGGAUUAGAUACCCGGGUAGUC